Molecule: long non-coding RNA, 496 nt
Filed under: Populus tremula
Lineage: Eukaryota; Viridiplantae; Streptophyta; Magnoliopsida; Malpighiales; Salicaceae
Description: long non-coding RNA (PTRE_LNC002669)
Source: RNAcentral
UUUGAUUUGAGCUCAUCAAAGCUUCAAAACUGAAUUUUCAACAAGAAUUUCUAAUAUCAAGAGAACAACAAGGAAAUAGAGUCUUUAAAAGGGCAUUUAUUUCUUUAUAAAGAAUCAAAGUGAAAGGAAGAGAGAGAGAGAGUACGUGGGUUUAUCACCAAUUAUUUUUCACCCAAAGUCUUUGUGGGGUUCGCAAACCUGAACAAGACACCAAAUGAAGCUAGUCAAAAACCAAUACAAAGCCAAGAAACACACACACACACACCGAGAGAGAGAAGAGGAGGGAUCUGAAGUGCACGAGAUGGUAAAGUCGAGCAGGGAAGGAGGAGGGAGGUUUGGGGGCCUUUAGAACCCUGUUGUUUAUAAAGAACUCCCGACAUGUCGUCCUAUAAGAACCACUUGUUACCUAUGUGAUGCUCAAACGACAGUGGUAGAUGAAUGACGCUGUGGUGCCUGUGGGUUAGUAAAGAUGGUAGGAUGGAGCAUUUUAUUUAUU